RNAcentral lists this ribosomal RNA (425 nucleotides) under uncultured bacterium. RNAcentral describes it as "bacterial SSU rRNA". It matches the Rfam family "Bacterial small subunit ribosomal RNA", at positions 356 to 773 of the family's 1533-position model. The record is from RNAcentral.
GGGGAAUUUUGGACAAUGGGCGCAAGCCUGAUCCAGCAAUGCCGCGUGCAGGAUGAAGGCCUUCGGGUUGUAAACUGCUUUUGUACGGAGCGAAACGGUCUACCCUAAUACGGUGGGCUAAUGACGGUACCGUAAGAAUAAGCACCGGCUAACUACGUGCCAGCAGCCGCGGUAAUACGUAGGGUGCGAGCGUUAAUCGGAAUUACUGGGCGUAAAGCGUGCGCAGGCGGUUAUAUAAGACAGAUGUGAAAUCCCCGGGCUCAACCUGGGACCUGCAUUUGUGACUGUAUAGCUAGAGUACGGUAGAGGGGGAUGGAAUUCCGCGUGUAGCAGUGAAAUGCGUAGAUAUGCGGAGGAACACCGAUGGCGAAGGCAAUCCCCUGGACCUGUACUGACGCUCAUGCACGAAAGCGUGGGGAGCAAAC